Molecule: ribosomal RNA, 836 nt
Filed under: Thermomonosporaceae str. IM-7058
Lineage: Bacteria; Bacillati; Actinomycetota; Actinomycetes; Streptosporangiales; Thermomonosporaceae
Description: bacterial SSU rRNA
Rfam family: Bacterial small subunit ribosomal RNA
Source: RNAcentral
GGCGGCGUGCUUAACACAUGCAAGUCGAGCGGAAAGGCCCUUCGGGGGUACUCGAGCGGCGAACGGGUGAGUAACACGUGAGUAACCUGCCCCUGACUCUGGGAUAAGCCCGGGAAACUGGGUCUAAUACCGGAUAUGACACACUUUUGCAUGAUGGUGUGUGGAAAGUUUUUCGGCUGGGGAUGGGCUCGCGGCCUAUCAGCUUGUUGGUGGGGUGAUGGCCUACCAAGGCGACGACGGGUAGCCGGCCUGAGAGGGCGACCGGCCACACUGGGACUGAGACACGGCCCAGACUCCUACGGGAGGCAGCAGUGGGGAAUAUUGCGCAAUGGGCGGAAGCCUGACGCAGCGACGCCGCGUGGGGGAUGAAGGCCUUCGGGUUGUAAACCUCUUUCACCACCGACGAAGCUAACGUGACGGUAGGUGGGGAAGAAGCGCCGGCUAACUACGUGCCAGCAGCCGCGGUAAUACGUAGGGCGCAAGCGUUGUCCGGAAUUAUUGGGCGUAAAGAGCUCGUAGGCGGUCUGUCGCGUCUGCCGUGAAAACCCGAGGCUUAACCUCGGGCCUGCGGUGGAUACGGGCAGACUAGAGGUAGGUAGGGGAGAAUGGAAUUCCCGGUGUAGCGGUGAAAUGCGCAGAUAUCGGGAGGAACACCGGUGGCGAAGGCGGUUCUUUGGGCCUUACCCUGACGCUGAGGAGCGAAAGCGUGGGGAGCGAACAGGAUUAGAUACCCUGGUAGUCCACGCCGUAAACGUUGGGCGCUAGGUGUGGGGUUCUUCCACGGAUUCCGCGCCGUAGCUAACGCAUUAAGCGCCCCGCCUGGGGAGUACGGCCGC